Molecule: ribosomal RNA, 421 nt
Filed under: uncultured bacterium
Lineage: Bacteria
Description: bacterial SSU rRNA
Rfam family: Bacterial small subunit ribosomal RNA
Source: RNAcentral
AUUGAACGCUGGCGGCAUGCCUUACACAUGCAAGUCGAACGGCAGCACGGGGCAACCUGGUGGCGAGUGGCGAACGGGUGAGUAAUGCAUCGGAACGUGCCAUUGAGUGGGGGAUAACGUAGCGAAAGUUGCGCUAAUACCGCAUAUUCUGUGAGCAGGAAAGCAGGGGACCGCAAGGCCUUGCGCUCUUUGAGCGGCCGAUGUCAGAUUAGCUAGUUGGUGAGGUAACGGCUUACCAAGGCGACGAUCUGUAGCGGGUCUGAGAGGAUGAUCCGCCACACUGGAACUGAGACACGGUCCAGACUCCUACGGGAGGCAGCAGUGGGGAAUUUUGGACAAUGGGCGCAAGCCUGAUCCAGCCAUUCCGCGUGCAGGAUGAAGGCCUCGGUUGUAACUGCUUUGUACGGUAACGAAAGGUACC